Molecule: ribosomal RNA, 472 nt
Filed under: uncultured bacterium
Lineage: Bacteria
Description: bacterial SSU rRNA
Rfam family: Bacterial small subunit ribosomal RNA
Source: RNAcentral
CUCUGUGACUCCUACGGGAGGCAUCAGUGGGGAAUAUUGCACAAUGGGGGAAACCCUGAUGCAGCCAUGCCGCGUGUGUGAAGAAGGCCUUCGGGUUGUAAAGCACUUUCAGUAGGGAGGAAGGUAGUGUAGUUAACACCUGCAUUAUUUGACGUUACCUACAGAAGAAGCACCGGCUAACUCCGUGCCAGCAGCCGCGGUAAUACGGAGGGUGCGAGCGUUAAUCGGAAUUACUGGGCGUAAAGCGCAUGCAGGCGGCCUGUUAAGUCAGAUGUGAAAGCCCGGGGCUUAACCUCGGAAUUGCAUUUGAAACUGGCAGGCUAGAGUCUUGUAGAGGGGGUAGAAUUUCAGGUGUAGCGGUGAAAUGCGUAGAGAUCUGAAGGAAUACCAGUGGCGAAGGCGGCCCCCUGGACAAAGACUGACGCUCAGAUGCGAAAGCGUGGGGAGCAAACAGGAUUAGAUACCCUGGUAG